RNAcentral lists this microRNA (22 nucleotides) under Physcomitrium patens. RNAcentral's name for it is "ppt-miR1062". The record is from miRBase by way of RNAcentral. Lineage: Eukaryota; Viridiplantae; Streptophyta; Bryopsida; Funariales; Funariaceae.
UCCCUCACGUGGUGUUUGCAGC